CCUACGGGAGGCAGCAGUGGGGAAUAUUGCGCAAUGGGCGCAAGCCUGACCCAGCAACGCCGCGUGAGGGAAGAAGGCUUUCGGGUUGUAAACUUCUUUUGUCAGGGAAGAGUGGUAGACGGUACCUGACGAAUAAGCCACGGCUAACUACGUGCCAGCAGCCGCGGUAAUACGGAGGUGGCAAGCGUGGUCCGGAUUUACUGGGAGUAAAGGGCGUGUAGCCGGGUUGACAAGUCAGUUGUGAAAUCCUUCGGCUUAACCGGAGAACUGCAUUUGAAACUGUUGAUCUUGAGUGCUGGAGAGGAAGACGGAAUUCCUAGUGUAGGGGUGAAAUGCGUAGAUAUUAGGAGGAACACCAGUGGCGAAGGCGGUCUGCUGGACAGCAACUGACGGUGAGGCGCGAAAGCGUGGGGAGCAAACAGGAUUAGAUACCCCUGUAGUC
Molecule: ribosomal RNA, 442 nt
Filed under: uncultured bacterium
Lineage: Bacteria
Description: partial 16S ribosomal RNA
Rfam family: Bacterial small subunit ribosomal RNA
Source: RNAcentral